RNAcentral lists this ribosomal RNA (332 nucleotides) under uncultured bacterium. Its description in RNAcentral is "bacterial SSU rRNA". It matches the Rfam family "Bacterial small subunit ribosomal RNA", at positions 30 to 363 of the family's 1533-position model. The record is from RNAcentral.
AUUGAACGCUGGCGGAAUGCUUUACACAUGCAAGUCGAACGGCAGCACGGGGCAACCUGGUGGCGAGUGGCGAACGGGUGAGUAAUAUAUCGGAACGUGCCCAAUCGUGGGGGAGUAACGUAGCGAAGUUACGCUAAUACCGCAUACGAUCUACGGAUGAAAGCGGGGGAGUCGCAAGACCUCGCGCGAAUGGAGCGGCCGAUAUCAGAUUAGGUAGUUGGUGGGGUAAAGGCUCACCAAGCCAACGAUCUGUAGCUGGUCUGAGAGGACGACCAGCCACACUGGAACUGAGACACGGUCCAGACUCCUACGGGAGGCAGCAGUUGGGGGAA